GAUGAACGCUAGCGGCAGGCCUAACACAUGCAAGUCGAGGGGCAGCACGAUAAAGCUUGCUUUAUUGGUGGCGACCGGCGCACGGGUGCGUAACGCGUAUGCAACCUACCUUGUACUGGGGGAUAGCCCGGAGAAAUUCGGAUUAACCCCCCAUAGUAUUAUUAGAUCGCAUGGUUUGAUAAUUAAAGGUUACGGUACAAGAUGGGCAUGCGUCCCAUUAGCUAGAUGGUGAGGUAACGGCUCACCAUGGCGACGAUGGGUAGGGGCCUGAGAGGGUGGUCCCCCACACUGGUACUGAGACACGGACCAGACUCCUACGGGAGGCAGCAGUAGGGAAUAUUGGUCAAUGGACGCAAGUCUGAACCAGCCAUGCCGCGUGCAGGAAGACGGCCCUCUGGGUUGUAAACUGCUUUUGAUAGGGAACAAAUGCCACUUGCGAGUGGAGCUGAGUGUACCUAUAGAAUAAGCACCGGCUAACUCCGUGCCAGCAGCCGGGU
This 497-nucleotide ribosomal RNA is filed under the name uncultured bacterium. RNAcentral describes it as "bacterial SSU rRNA". It matches the Rfam family "Bacterial small subunit ribosomal RNA", at positions 28 to 521 of the family's 1533-position model. The record is from RNAcentral.